AAACGUAACGAAAUAUGAACAAAAUCCGUAAACGUCCGAACAGCUUUCCUCGCGAGAAUUCAGCGAGACCAACAUGUUACAGGCGAAAAUCGAGAGAGAAAUUCAACAUGAAAAAAGAGGUAAAACUUUAUGUUAUCUCGAUUUAUAAAUUUUUUAAAUUGCAAAAAGUUGAAAAACAAACGUUUCUUUACCUGAAAAGUGAAAGUAGGUUUGCAGUUUCUUAUUUUGUCAAGUGCUAUUGCACUUUAAAGUGUCAAAACAGCACCUCUCGAUUUUGUAAACAUGUUUCCACGUGGAAGGGAGUAGUUGUGAUGAUCAUGAUUAACCCACAUACAUUGAUUUAGUGAACAAAAACACUCGUACAGCUGUAGAGUACAUUUUGAACAGCCAUCUCCAGGAUAUACUCUGAAGACAGUGAUGUGCUAGUUCAAGGUUUGCCUGUUCAGAUACUUUCAUAAUAAAGAAUGGGUGAAAAAAUUCUCACAUUAUCAUGCUGCCUAAUAGUAC
Saccostrea cuccullata (small rock oyster) is the source of this 507-nucleotide long non-coding RNA. RefSeq lists it as uncharacterized. NCBI's taxonomy places the organism in Eukaryota, Metazoa, Mollusca, Bivalvia, Ostreida, Ostreidae. The record is from RefSeq and is a predicted model, not a curated record. The transcript has 4 exons.